UAUAUAUAUAUAUGAGACUUUGUGAAGCCUAAAAAAGGAGUAUGGCGAAAGGGAAUCCGGUACUCAUUCCGGAACCUGGACAUGAGGAGUAGUGUUGCUUCGUGCAGCACCUAGCCGUAAGGCGUUUACCAUCCUGGAGAAUCCAACCAGAGAGCCGGGAAGAGUUGUCUUUUCUGCUUAAGGAACAGAGGGCCUUGUGAACUGAGUCGGUCAGAGAGAGGGUCUUUGUUCCGAAUAGCGCCGCGGUUCUUGCGGAGUCCAGCUCCUCUGGUGUGGAACAUGAAAAUCCAGGGGUAAGAAUUGAAA
Molecule: ribosomal RNA, 306 nt
Filed under: Pilbaracandona eberhardi
Lineage: Eukaryota; Metazoa; Arthropoda; Ostracoda; Podocopida; Candonidae
Description: LSU rRNA
Rfam family: Eukaryotic large subunit ribosomal RNA
Source: RNAcentral